GAUGAACGCUGGCGGCGUGCCUAAUACAUGCCAGUCGAGCGAACAGACGAGGAGCUUGCUUCUCUGACGUUAGCGGCGGACGGGUGAGUAACACGUGGAUAACCUACCUAUAAGACUGGGAUAACUUCGGGAAACCGGAGCUAAUACCGGAUAAUAUAUUGAACCGCAUGGUUCAAUAGUGAAAGACGGUCUUGCUGUCACUUAUAGAUGGAUCCGCGCUGCAUUAGCUAGUUGGUAAGGUAACGGCUUACCAAGGCGACGAUGCGUAGCCGACCUGAGAGGGUGAUCGGCCACACUGGAACUGAGACACGGUCCAGACUCCUACGGGAGGCAGCAGUAGGGAAUCUUCCGCAAUGGGCGAAAGCCUGACGGAGCAACGCCGCGUGAGUGAUGAAGGUCUUCGGAUCGUAAAACUCUGUUAUUAGGGAAGAACAAAUGUGUAAGUAACUGUGCACGUCUUGACGGUACCUAAUCAGAAAGCCACGGCUAACUACGUG
This 497-nucleotide ribosomal RNA is filed under the name uncultured bacterium. RNAcentral describes it as "partial 16S ribosomal RNA". It matches the Rfam family "Bacterial small subunit ribosomal RNA", at positions 28 to 507 of the family's 1533-position model. The record is from RNAcentral.